This 250-nucleotide ribosomal RNA is filed under the name uncultured prokaryote. RNAcentral's name for it is "partial 16S ribosomal RNA". It matches the Rfam family "Bacterial small subunit ribosomal RNA", at positions 524 to 773 of the family's 1533-position model. The record is from RNAcentral.
UACGGAGGGUGCAAGCGUUAAUCGGAAUUACUGGGCGUAAAGCGCACGUAGGUUGUCCUGUAAGUCAGGGGUGAAAGCCCGCGGCUCAACUGCGGAACUGCCCUUGAUACUGCAGGACUCGGAUCCGGGAGAGGUCAGCGGAAUUCCAGGUGUAGGAGUGAAAUCCGUAGAUAUCUGGAGGAACAUCAGUGGCGAAGGCGGCUGACUGGACCGGCAUUGACGCUGAGGUGCGAAAGCGUGGGUAGCAAAC